This 458-nucleotide ribosomal RNA is filed under the name uncultured bacterium. RNAcentral's name for it is "SSU rRNA". It matches the Rfam family "Bacterial small subunit ribosomal RNA", at positions 26 to 518 of the family's 1533-position model. The record is from RNAcentral.
AGAAUCAACGCUGGCGGCGUGCCUAACACAUGCAAGUCGAACGAGAAAGUGGAGCAAUCCAUGAGUAAAGUGGCGCACGGGUGAGUAACACGUGACUAACCUACCUUUUAGUGGGGGAUAACCUAGGGAAACCUGGGCUAAUACCGCAUAAUACCUACGGGUCAAAGCAGCAAUGCGCUGGAAGAGGGGGUCGCGGCCGAUUAGCUAGUUGGCGGGGUAAUGGCCCACCAAGGCAGUGAUCGGUAUCCGGCCUGAGAGGGCGCACGGACACACUGGAACUGAAACACGGUCCAGACUCCUACGGGAGGCAGCAGUGGGGAAUUUUGCGCAAUGGGGGAAACCCUGACGCAGCAACGCCGCGUGGAGGAUGAAGACCCUUGGGUCGUAAACUCCCUUCGAUCGGGACGAUAAUGACGGUACCGGAAGAAGAGCCCGGCUAACUUCGCGCCAGCAGCCGC